Molecule: ribosomal RNA, 254 nt
Filed under: uncultured bacterium
Lineage: Bacteria
Description: partial 16S ribosomal RNA
Rfam family: Bacterial small subunit ribosomal RNA
Source: RNAcentral
UACGUAGGGUGCGAGCGUUAAUCGGAAUUACUGGGCGUAAAGCGUGCGUAGGUGGUUCGUUGUGUCUGUGGUGAAAGCCCCCGGGCUUAACCUGGGAACGGCCAUGGAAACUGGCGAGCUGGAGUGUGGCAGAGGGGGGUGGAAUUCCGCGUGUAGCAGUGAAAUGCGUAGAGAUGCGGAGGAACACCGAUGGCGAAGGCAGCCCCCUGGGCUAACACUGACGCUGAGGCACGAAAGCGUGGGGAGCAAACAGG